This 1170-nucleotide long non-coding RNA is filed under the name Gallus gallus (chicken). Its description in RNAcentral is "lncRNA (ENSGALG00010007675.1)". The record is from RNAcentral. Lineage: Eukaryota; Metazoa; Chordata; Aves; Galliformes; Phasianidae.
CUCGACCACAGGGUUCUUUCCUCCCCAGCGCCUUCCCAGACCUUCCUCCUCGUGGGCCAAUCCAGGUUGCGCUGGGUUCUGGGCUCAUCCGUGGGGGAGUGUGUGCAACAUCCUCACGGACCAUCGCUGCUCUGGCAGGGGCAGCCCAGCUCCGCGCUUCUUUCUGGGCUUGGGGGUGCCAUCGUGUUCAGGGUACAUGUCAGCCUCAGGGCUGCUGCCAGCUGCCUGACAGCCUGGGCUACUCCCCUGCGUGUGGGCAGUGCGGUCAGGUCUGAGGGCUGCUUCCGUACGGUGUCAGUCACAGACACGAGACAAAACAAACUGGCUGCAAAAGUCAGCUGAUGUCGUAAGGAAAGAAACUCCUCAGAUGGAGAUGGAAGAAGAGGGUGACAACGUAGCUGGGCCGUCACGAGAAAUCUCUGGGCAAGAAGCAGGAAUGAGCGCAGGGAGGGCGCAGGGAGCACCUGCGAUCCCCUCAGGGUGGUCGACGCCCAACUCUGAGGUGCUCUGGGUGGAGCUGGAAGUGAUGGCGGCUAAACCCCAACGUACAAAGGCUGUUCUCCCGGUGCACGGCUCCCAGGAGUGUGGGCACACAGGGCGUGGUCCACUCAGGAGGUUGUCCAGGGCGAGGCAGUCAACUCCGCACCUCAAGGUCGCCUCCACCAAGAAGGAAAGAGAGGAGCUGUGGUAGGCGACUCCCGUCUUAAGGGAACAGAGGGCCCUGUAUGUUGGCCAGACCCUACCCACAGGGAAGCGUGCCGCCCGCCUCCCUGUGAUGCGGGCAGGCACAUUACCAGAACAUUUCCUGGCCUGGUUCCCCCCUCUGCUCGUUAUCCCUUUCCGCCAGUUCAGGCUGGCAGUGAUGAAGUUGCUGAGGGAAGCCUAAGUGCCAUCAACAGCAUGCCAGGGGACUGGGGCACUUAGUCGAUGGAGUGAGGAUUGUUUUCCUGUGCCCGCACCUUCAGUGGCAGAGAGGGAUACUGAGAGGGCGAGGAAAACCCAUCUGUUAAAUACAUGGCUGAGAGGCUGCUGCCACUGCGGGAAUUUUGGCUUUUUUUUGUCCACGGGGAGACUCACAGAUGGGUCCCACCUGUCUCAAAGGGGGAAAUGGAUCCUCAGGAGCCGGCGGUGCUCAUUGAGAGGGCUUGAAAGUAGGUACGAAGGGGGGAG